RNAcentral lists this ribosomal RNA (119 nucleotides) under Pteropus alecto (black flying fox). The record is from RNAcentral. Lineage: Eukaryota; Metazoa; Chordata; Mammalia; Chiroptera; Pteropodidae.
UUCUAUAGCCAUGCCACCUUAAACAAGUCCAAUCCCGUCUGAUCUCAGAAGCUAAGCAGGGUCGGGCCUGGUUAGGACUUGGAUAGGAGACCACCUAGGAAGACCAGAUGCUAUAGGCG